RNAcentral lists this ribosomal RNA (222 nucleotides) under uncultured bacterium. Its description in RNAcentral is "partial 16S ribosomal RNA". It matches the Rfam family "Bacterial small subunit ribosomal RNA", at positions 118 to 334 of the family's 1533-position model. The record is from RNAcentral.
UAAAGAACCUGCCUUAUAGACUGGGACAACUAUUGGAAACGAUAGCUAAUACCGGAUAACAGCAUUAACUGCAUGGUUGAUGUUUAAAAGUUGGUUAUGCUAACACUAUGAGAUGGCUUUGCGGUGCAUUAGCUAGUUGGUGGGGUAAAAGCCUACCAAGGCGACGAUGCAUAGCCGACCUGAGAGGGUGAUCGGCCACACUGGGACUGAGACACGGCCCAG